AAAAGCUUCGAGUAAUACAUCUCUAAAUUUCUAUCCAUUCACAGGAUCCUUAAGCUUCCAGACCCUUCUUCUCCAUGCUGGUCAUAUUCUGGGCAUCCAUAAAGCCCUGAUCCUGAAGUCGCUAACUACUAAUCUAUGUUGUGGGAUGCAUUCUUCACCUGGGAAGGUUUUGGCAUUUAUAAGUAGCCAUCUUUCCCAUUUCCUGGUGAGGAUGUAGUCAAUUUGACUAUUGUGUCCACCAGACCAGUAGGUGAAUAGGUGACUGACAGGUUUCCCGAAGUUAAUAUCACAAACCAUAAGAUCAUUUGCAUCAUAGAACUCCAGCAGCCUGGUUCUCUCCUCAUUGAAGGAACCAAAACCAUAGCUUCCAUGUGUGCCAUGGAAGCCUCUGGCAUGUUGUCCAACAUGCGCAUUGAAGUUGCCAGCCACAAAGAGAAGGUCGCUACUAUUCAUCGACAAAGUAGUCUGCAAGGGGAUGUCAUAAAAUCGGUCUUUUUGUUCAUCAGGUAGCUCCAGCUGUGGGGCAUAAGCCGAUAUAAUGGUUGUUAAUCCAUGUUGCAGCAUUAAUCUAAUAAUAAGUUUUGUCACUGACUCUGACUACCUUGAUUACCUUAUCAACCCAUUUCUCCACAAGAAGUAUAUCCACACCCCCAACCCCAUCAGUGUUCCCUGCCCAGAAAAUCUUAUACCUAUGUUCUUUGCCUGUGAAUAACCUAGCAGAACUUCCUCUCCACCUUACUUCUUGGAUGCAGCACAAAUCUACAUGUCUCUGUUCAAGCAUCUCAACAAUUUCCCAGACAUACCUUUUGGUGUGCCAACUCUGAGGGUGUGGACAAUGUGGCCCCGCAAGACCCUGGGAUGGGGAACAGCAGCAUCAUGUACCUGAAAAGAAAGCUCACAUUUGGCAGAACUCAUAAACAUACAAUAGCCUUCAACCUGAAUACACUACACCAUUUUAUGCGGUACAUAAUCACUACAUUACAUAAGAGAUUAACCCUAAGUAAGGAUGAGGGAACAUGAAGCCUUUGGAGGUGUUCUUGGGAAAAACAUCCGGUAGAGAUCAGAGGAUAAAGACUUCCAAUACAGAUAGUGGGGGUGGGAAGGGCAGGUGCACCGUGAAAAAGCAAAAACUCAGGCUGCUGGUGUGAAAGAGUAGUAAUGAUAGCAAUGAGAUAGAGUUCUUAACUAGAGUUAUAACAAACAGUUUUCGGUCAGCCAAACUGUAACAAAAUUAGAUAAAUGAAUGAAUAAAUAACAAUAAUAAAUGAGCGUGAAAGAGGGGGAGAAGGGAUAAAGAGUGAAGGGAGAGCUGGAUUGAGUGUAGGGAUCUUAAGUUUUUUCUCUAAACAUACAGCAUGGAAGACGAAACCAUAUUUAAAAACAUAGAUAAUGAAAUUAAAUAAUAAAGUAAUUAUAAUUUGUGCUGAAAAAGAGGUUUUAGAUGUGUGCUAGGUUGGAAUACAAAGUUGCUUAUCUGAACAUCUCAUUUCUACUCUGUGUGGCGAGGUGUUUCUUGAAAACAUCUACUCCAACUCCAUGAAGGUCCCUCAGAUGUUUUAGCCAGGAGCUAAGUAGCUGUGGGCCUUGAAUCCCAAGUUAUUGCAGUACAUGUUCCUCGCCCUAGAUGAUACAGUUGGGACUUUUGGAACAGUGCAGCGACAUCCAUUUUGACAUCUGUUAUAACUCUCAAUUCAAAAUUUGGUGCCAUUCCCUCCAGUAUCUUCCAUACAUAUAUCUCUCCCGUUUUCACUCCAGGGAGUAGAGCCAUAGCUCUUUCAGUCUCUCCCAGUAGCUCAGCUGUUCCAUUGAUGCAAUCUUCUUCAUGUAGUAUCUCUGAAUUGCCUCAAGUUCUACUAUUAAUCCUACAGUGUAGGGUGACCAUAGUUGAGAGCAUAGUCCAGAUAGCUGAGGACAAAUGUCCUCCAUAGGACCAGCAUAGUUUCCUGGUCCCUUCUUCUGAAGGUUCUCAGAAUCCAUCCGGCCAUUCGCCUGCACACUGCCACCAUCUUGCUGACAUGCAAGUGAAACAAGGCAUUGUUGCUGAUGUCAAUCCCAAGAUCACGCACUGUAUUUGCUUCUUGGAUUUCUGCUCCUUUUCACCCAAAGUAUUGUUGUUGCGACUUCUGAGCACCAAUUAGCUGGUAGCAGAGGGCUUGGAAUUUGCCUGCAUUAAAUUGCAUGUUCUUGUCCUCAGCCUAUUUAUAAUAUGGCAUCUAGGUCUUUCUGUAGAAGAUUAGCAUCAGACGGUUCCUUGACUGCUUGUACUACUUUUGUGUCAUCAGCAUAACUAUUAAGUAAGGCUAUCUGUGUAACUGAUGCAUGUC
RNAcentral lists this long non-coding RNA (2324 nucleotides) under Octopus sinensis (East Asian common octopus). Its description in RNAcentral is "uncharacterized LOC118766926". The record is from RNAcentral. Lineage: Eukaryota; Metazoa; Mollusca; Cephalopoda; Octopoda; Octopodidae.